AACGAACGCUGGCGGCAUGCCUAACACAUGCAAGUCGAACGAGACCUUCGGGUCUAGUGGCGCAUGGGUGCGUAACGCGUGGGAACCUGCCCUUAGGUUCGGAAUACCUCCCCGAAAGGGGUGCUAAUACCGGAUAAUGUCUUCGGACCAAAGAUUUAUCGCGUUUGGUUGGGCCCGCGUUGGAUUCGCUGGUUGGUAGGGUAAAAGCCUACUAAGGCGACGAUCCAUAGCUGGUUUGAGAGGAUGAUCAGCCACACUGGGACUGAGACACGGCCCAGACUCCUACGGGAGGCAGCAGAGGGGAAUAUUGGACAAUGGGCGAAAGCCUGAUCCAGCAAUGCCGGGUGAGUGAUGAAGGCCUUAGGGUUGUAAAGCUCUUUUACCCGGGAUGAUAAUGACAGUACCGGGAGAAUAAGCUCCGGCUAACUCCGUG
RNAcentral lists this ribosomal RNA (433 nucleotides) under uncultured bacterium. RNAcentral's name for it is "partial 16S ribosomal RNA". It matches the Rfam family "Bacterial small subunit ribosomal RNA", at positions 29 to 507 of the family's 1533-position model. The record is from RNAcentral.